AACGAACGCUGGCGGCAUGCCUAACACAUGCAGGUCGAACGAGACCUUCGGGUCUAGUGGCGCACGGGUGCGUAACGCGUGGGAACCUGCCUUUAGGUUCGGAAUAACUCAGAGAAAUUUGAGCUAAUACCGGAUGAUGUCUUCGGACCAAAGAUUUAUCGCCUUUAGAUGGGCCCGCGUUGGAUUAGCUAGUUGGUGGGGUAAAGGCCUACCAAGGCGACGAUCCAUAGCUGGUCUGAGAGGAUGAUCAGCCACACUGGGACUGAGACACGGCCCAGACUCCUACGGGAGGCAGCAGUGGGGAAUAUUGGACAAUGGGCGAAAGCCUGAUCCAGCAAUGCCGCGUGAGUGAUGAAGGCCUUAGGGUUGUAAAGCUCUUUUACCCGAGAUGAUAAUGACAGUAGCGGGAGAAUAAGCUCCGGCUAACUCCGUG
RNAcentral lists this ribosomal RNA (433 nucleotides) under uncultured bacterium. RNAcentral describes it as "partial 16S ribosomal RNA". It matches the Rfam family "Bacterial small subunit ribosomal RNA", at positions 29 to 507 of the family's 1533-position model. The record is from RNAcentral.